AGCGCAGACGGUUAUUUAAGCAAGAUGUGAAAGCCCUGGGCUCAACCUGGGAACUGCGUUUUGAACUGGGUAACUAGAGUGUGUCAGAGGGGGGUAGAAUUCCACGUGUAGCAGUGAAAUGCGUAGAGAUGUGGAGGAAUACCGAUGGCGAAGGCAGCCCCCUGGGAUAACACUGACGUUCAUGCUCGAAAGCGUGGGUAGCAAACA
This 207-nucleotide ribosomal RNA is filed under the name uncultured bacterium. Its description in RNAcentral is "partial 16S ribosomal RNA". It matches the Rfam family "Bacterial small subunit ribosomal RNA", at positions 568 to 774 of the family's 1533-position model. The record is from RNAcentral.